RNAcentral lists this ribosomal RNA (118 nucleotides) under Pteropus alecto (black flying fox). The record is from RNAcentral. Lineage: Eukaryota; Metazoa; Chordata; Mammalia; Chiroptera; Pteropodidae.
AUCUAUGGCCAUGCCAUCCUGAAGUGCCCGAUCUAGUCUGAUCUCAGAAGCUAAGCAGGGUCAGGCCUGAAUAGUACUUGGAUGGGAGACCACCUAGGAAGACCAGGUGCUGUAGGUG